This 643-nucleotide ribosomal RNA is filed under the name uncultured Actinomycetes bacterium. RNAcentral's name for it is "bacterial SSU rRNA". It matches the Rfam family "Bacterial small subunit ribosomal RNA", at positions 232 to 885 of the family's 1533-position model. The record is from RNAcentral. Lineage: Bacteria; Bacillati; Actinomycetota; Actinomycetes.
CGCGGCCUAUCAGCUUGUUGGUGGGGUGAUGGCCUACCAAGGCGACGACGGGUAGCCGGCCUGAGAGGGUGAUCGGCCACAUUGGGACUGAGAUACGGCCCAGACUCCUACGGGAGGCAGCAGUGGGGAAUAUUGCACAAUGGGCGGAAGCCUGAUGCAGCGACGCCGCGUGAGGGAUGACGGCCUUCGGGUUGUAAACCUCUUUCAGCAGGGACGAAGCGUAAGUGACGGUACCUGCAGAAGAAGCACCGGCUAACUAUGUGCCAGCAGCCGCGGUAAUACGUAGGGUGCGAGCGUUGUCCGGAAUUACUGGGCGUAAAGAGCUCGUAGGCGGUUUGUCACGUCGUCUGUGAAAUCCUAGGGCUUAACCCUGGACGUGCAGGCGAUACGGGCUGACUUGGGUACUACAGGGGAGACUGGAAUUUCUGGUGUAGCGGUGGAAUGCACAGAUAUCAGGAAGAACACCGAUGGCGAAGGCAGGUCUCUGGGUAGUAACUGACGCUGAGGAGCGAAAGCAUGGGUAGCGAACAGGAUUAGAUACCCUGGUAGUCCAUGCCGUAAACGGUGGGCGCUAGGUGUGGGGUUCCUUCCACGGGCUCCGCGCCGUAGCUAACGCAUUAAGCGCCCCGCCUGGGGAGUACGG